Molecule: transfer RNA, 59 nt
Filed under: Taenia regis
Lineage: Eukaryota; Metazoa; Platyhelminthes; Cestoda; Cyclophyllidea; Taeniidae
Description: tRNA-Ser (AGN)
Source: RNAcentral
AGAGGAAAAGGUGAGGUUACUGCUAAUAAUUUUGUGUCAAUUAGAUUUGACUUUCUCUU